RNAcentral lists this long non-coding RNA (1464 nucleotides) under Astyanax mexicanus (Mexican tetra). RNAcentral's name for it is "lncRNA (ENSAMXG00005006951.1)". The record is from RNAcentral. Lineage: Eukaryota; Metazoa; Chordata; Actinopteri; Characiformes; Acestrorhamphidae.
CAAAAGUAAAUGGACACUCUCUUCUAAUGUGGUCAUUUUUAUAUGUGUGUGUGUGUGUGUGUGUGUGUGUGUGUGUGUGUGUGGGCUGCAGGUCCUGGUGGGGUGUGUAUCUGCAGAGCGGGCCAGGCUGAUGAUGCUGUGGGGUAAAGCUGUGUCUCUGAGGCGUCAGUGCCACACUGUGAAAACCGCCACAGACAAGGAUCUGUGGGAGUUGAGGGCGGAGUUUUCUCGUCUGUCAUCAACCUUGUUCUCAAUGGGUUUCCCUCCCGUGGUGCCCCGCCCCUCCGUCCUCUCCUCCUCCACCGGGCCAAUGACCCUUGAGGAACUGAACCAGGAAACGUCCACCACUAACCAUCUAGAUGAUCAGGAGAGCCUCACCCAGCAGCUCAGGUCUAGGAUUGAAGAGUUAACAGUGACUGUCCAAGCCCUGGAGAGUGAGAGACAGAGGCAGGAGGAGGAGAGAGAGAGGAGGCGAAGAGAGGAAGAGGAGGAGAUGGAGAAACACCAAGAGACUGAGAGAAACCUGGAGUCGGUCCAGCAGGCUGUCAAAAAGCUGUACAGGGUGCUCAGUUCUCAAAAGCUGGAGGGACAGUCCAGGAUGAGUGACCACUCUAAUAACGGUCUGCCUGCUCUACUGGCUAUUAUUGCUCAGGCUGAGAGCGCCCUCCUGUGGAAACACCAGGAGCUGCAGGAGGCUGAGGGGAGUUUGCAGAGAGUGAAGCUGGAAACACACUCUCAGGAUCAGCGAAUCACAGAGCUAGACAGAGAGAUGGCGGAGUUAGAGGAUCAGCUCAGCAACAAAGAGGCGGAGUUACAGCGUGCUAACACACAACUCAGCAGUUUGGAGGCGGAGCUUCUGGAGAACGCACAGCUGUGCGAGAGGGAGAGCCGCAGCCGUGUGGAGCUGCACAGCCUGCAGGGGGCGCUGGAGAGAGAGCGGCUGGACAGAGCACGGGCCGAGAAGGAGGCGGAGGAGAAUAAGGAUGCUCUGCUGCAGGCUCGUCAGUCCCUGCUAUCUCUCUCGUCCGCUCACACUCUGCUGAAGAGAGAAGCAGCAGAUGUAAGAGAUGCUCUGGAGAAAAUGUCCGCCUUAAAUGAAGCCCUGGUCCAGGAUAAGAGAGAGCACAACAUCCGCACACUACAGCUGGAGGAGGAGGUGUCUGAAGCUCAGUUGAAGCUGCAGAAGUUCAGCUCUGAGGUGGCGGCCCUGCAGAGGGAGCUGAAGACUGUUACAGUGGAAACAGCAGAGUUAAGGGUUGGCAGGGAGACGGAUCUGGACGUCCUUCAGCAGCUCAGAGCUGGAGAGAGAGAGCUACAGACAGAAAUACAGACACUGAGAGAGGAGAGAGAGCAAGAGACAUCUGCUCUAGCUGAGGAGAGAGAGAAGAAUGAACAGGUAUAGAUUUCAGUCAGUUAUUUAAAAUGGUUUUGGUGGGUUUGAUGUGAAAUGCUUAGUUCUGGAUA